RNAcentral lists this ribosomal RNA (468 nucleotides) under Comamonadaceae bacterium. RNAcentral's name for it is "bacterial SSU rRNA". It matches the Rfam family "Bacterial small subunit ribosomal RNA", at positions 391 to 852 of the family's 1533-position model. The record is from RNAcentral. Lineage: Bacteria; Pseudomonadati; Pseudomonadota; Betaproteobacteria; Burkholderiales; Comamonadaceae.
GCAAUGCCGCGUGCAGGAUGAAGGCCUUCGGGUUGUAAACUGCUUUUGUACGGAACGAAACGGUGAGCUCUAAUACAGCUUGCUAAUGACGGUACCGUAAGAAUAAGCACCGGCUAACUACGUGCCAGCAGCCGCGGUAAUACGUAGGGUGCGAGCGUUAAUCGGAAUUACUGGGCGUAAAGCGUGCGCAGGCGGUGAUGUAAGACAGAUGUGAAAUCCCCGGGCUCAACCUGGGACCUGCAUUUGUGACUGCAUCGCUNGAGUACGGUAGAGGGGGAUGGAAUUCCGCGUGUAGCAGUGAAAUGCGUAGAUAUGCGGAGGAACACCGAUGGCGAAGGCAAUCCCCUGGACCUGUACUGACGCUCAUGCACGAAAGCGUGGGGAGCAAACAGGAUUAGAUACCCUGGUAGUCCACGCCCUAAACGAUGUCAACUGGUUGUUGGGUCUUCACUGACUCACUAACGAAGC